Molecule: ribosomal RNA, 253 nt
Filed under: uncultured bacterium
Lineage: Bacteria
Description: partial 16S ribosomal RNA
Rfam family: Bacterial small subunit ribosomal RNA
Source: RNAcentral
UACGUAGGUGGCAAGCGUUGUCCGGAUUUAUUGGGUUUAAAGGGUGCGUAGGCGGCCCUGUAAGUCAGUGCUGAAAUAUCCCGGCUUAACCGGGAGGGUGGCAUUGAUACUGCGGGGCUAGAGUACAGAUGAGGUAGGCGGAAUUGACGGUGUAGCGGUGAAAUGCUUAGAUAUCGUCAAGAACACCGAUAGCGAAGGCAGCUUACUAGGCUGUAACUGACGCUGAGGCACGAAAGUGUGGGGAUCAAACAGG